CCAACGGCUCUUUUAAGAGCCACCCACACUUUUCUUAAAGGAGCUG
Mesitornis unicolor (brown roatelo) is the source of this 46-nucleotide non-coding RNA. The record is from Rfam. Lineage: Eukaryota; Metazoa; Chordata; Aves; Mesitornithiformes; Mesitornithidae.